Molecule: non-coding RNA, 375 nt
Organism: Mus caroli (Ryukyu mouse)
Lineage: Eukaryota; Metazoa; Chordata; Mammalia; Rodentia; Muridae
Source: the annotation of a RefSeq genome assembly
AUGGAAUGUAACUGGAUAGUUCCUUUUAUUCUGUUGGUAACUUCAGGUGUCUACUCACAGGUUCAGCUCCAGCAGUCUGGUGCUGAGCUGGCAAGGCCUGGGGCUUCAGUGAAGAUGUCCUGCAAGGCUUCUGGCUACACCUUUACCACCUACUGGAUGCACUGGGUAAAACAGAGGCCUGGACAGGGUCUGGAAUGGAUUGGCGCUAUUUAUCCUGGAAAUAGUGAUACUAGCUACAACCAGAAGUUCAAGGGCAAGGCCAAACUGACUGCAGACACAUCUGCCAGCACUGCCUACAUGGAGCUCAGCAGCCUGAUAAAUGAGGACUCUGCGGUGUAUUACUGUACAAUACACAGUGUUGUGACCACAUCCUGA